UACAGAGGGUGCAAGCGUUAAUCGGAAUUACUGGGCGUAAAGCGUGCGUAGACGGUUGCGUAAGUCAGAUGUGAAAGCCCCGGGCUCAACCUGGGAAUUGCAUUUGAGACUGCGUAGCUAGGGUGCGGAAGAGGGAAGCGGAGUUUCCGGUGUAGCGGUGAAAUGCGCAGAUAUCAGGAGGAACACCGGUGGCGAAGGCGGGUCUCUGGGCCGUAACUGACGCUGAGGAGCGAAAGCAUGGGGAGCGAACAGG
RNAcentral lists this ribosomal RNA (253 nucleotides) under uncultured bacterium. Its description in RNAcentral is "partial 16S ribosomal RNA". It matches the Rfam family "Bacterial small subunit ribosomal RNA", at positions 524 to 776 of the family's 1533-position model. The record is from RNAcentral.